Molecule: long non-coding RNA, 1165 nt
Filed under: Marmota monax (woodchuck)
Lineage: Eukaryota; Metazoa; Chordata; Mammalia; Rodentia; Sciuridae
Source: RNAcentral
UCUUAAUGCCCCCUAAAAGUCCAUGUGCCCCAAUGCUUAGUUGCUAGUCUGUGGCACUAUUGGGAGAUAGUGGGACCUUCAGGAGUGAGGUCUAAUGGAAGAAAGUUAGGCCAUGGAGGGUAUGCCCUUGAAGGAGGUACUGGAUCCUCAGCCUCCUCAAUUUUCUCUUUUACUUUACAGCCACCAUGAGGUGAUCAUCCUCCUCUGUCAUGUACCCCCACCAUGAUUACUUACUGCGCCAUCACAGACCCAAAGCAACAUGGUCAAAUCACCAGAGAUUGAAACUCAUGGGAACCAAAGUAAACCUUUCCUCCUUUUAAGUUAAUUAUCUCAGUUAUCUUUUUCCAGUGACAGAAAGCUAACACAGAUGCUUUUUCCUUUUCUUGCUCAAGAUGGAGGUACUCUACAUGUACAUUACAGAAGAUGGUGGAAUCCUCCACCUUGAUGAUAAAUCCCAUGGGGAGCUAGACAGAAGCCAAGAUUUUGCAGAACUCAGAGGACUAUGGAUUUUGGAUAGAGGAGUUUUAUUGAGAAGGACAAAAGGAAUUGCACAAACAUGUUCCUAAAAAGAAAUCUACAUAGACUGGAUGGUGUGAAAACUGGAAUAUCAGCAAUGUCUUGCCUGCUUGGGUAAAACCAGAAAAAAGAGAAUCCUACUUCUGUAAGUAACAUGCCUAAAAGGAAAUCCUUUGAAAAGCCAUGAUUCUUUCUAUGUAUUUCUUUUCAGGGGAAUUAAAAUAUUAAAAUACCAGCUGAAGUAUAUAUAUACACACACACACACAACAUCAAACAUACACAUGAUAGGGAAUUAUAACUGAUUUUGCUGUGUUUUAAACAGAAACAUGUAGACUGAUUCUUUUUAUUACUGUUUGAAAAAAAAGUGGUGAGAAUACUACAGUGCAACUAGAGAAUACCAAUGUGAAAGGAUCGAUCUAAUUUACCUUAGGUACAGUCCUUGUUUAGGAGAAUUUAUUUAAUUGGCAACCUAAUUUGGGUGGAGAGGCAUUUUAAUUGAAAUUGAUUACUGUGGGAUUUUUACAUGCACUAUGACGCAUUGUGAGUUACAGCAACACAUGAUGUAAAAUUGGGUAAUUUAAAGCUGUAUAUGUUUUUUAUCCCAACUAUAAUGAAAUUUGCUGAGAAUUGCUUAUUAAUUGGAGUCUUU